RNAcentral lists this ribosomal RNA (207 nucleotides) under uncultured delta proteobacterium. RNAcentral describes it as "partial 16S ribosomal RNA". It matches the Rfam family "Bacterial small subunit ribosomal RNA", at positions 568 to 774 of the family's 1533-position model. Lineage: Bacteria; Deltaproteobacteria. The record is from RNAcentral.
CGUGUAGGCGGUUUGAUUAGUCUGAUGUGAAAGCCCUGGGCUCAACCCAGGAAGUGCAUUGGAUACUGUCAGACUUGAAUACGGGAGAGGGUAGUGGAAUUCCUAGUGUAGGAGUGAAAUCCGUAGAUAUUAGGAGGAACACCGGUGGCGAAGGCGGCUACCUGGACCGAUAUUGACGCUGAGACGCGAAAGCGUGGGUAGCAAACA